Molecule: ribosomal RNA, 275 nt
Filed under: uncultured bacterium
Lineage: Bacteria
Description: partial 16S ribosomal RNA
Rfam family: Bacterial small subunit ribosomal RNA
Source: RNAcentral
CCUACGGGGGGCUGCAGUAACGAAUCUUCCGCAAUGCACGAAAGUGUGACGGAGCGACGCCGCGUGGAGGACGAAGUUCUUCGGAAUGUAAACUCCUGUCAGGGGAAAGAAAGUACUGAUCUACCCCAGAGGAAGGGACGGCUAACUCUGUGCCAGCAGCCGCGGUAAGACAGAGGUCCCGAGCGUUAGGCGGAAUCACUGGGCUUAAAGCGUGUGUAGGCGGAUGCCUAAGUACCUUGUGAAAUCCCACGGCUCAACCGUGGAACUGCUUGGUA